AACGAACGCUGGCGGCGUGCUUAACACAUGCAAGUCGAACGGUGACCCUCUUCGUAGGGGCUCAGUGGCGAACGGGUGAGUAACACGUGGGCAACCUGCCCGCAUCUCUGGGAUAAAUCCAAGAAAUUGGGGCUAAUACCGUAUGUUCACCGCUUCCCGCAUGGGUGGUUGUGCAAAGGUUUUGCGGCUGGGUAUGGACCCGGGGCCUAUACGCUUGCUGCUGGGGUAAGGGCCUCCCAAGGCAACGUCGGGUAGCCAGCCUGAGAGGGUGACCGGCAACAGUGGGACUGAGACAGGGCCACGACUCCUACGGGAGGCAGCAGUGGGGAAUAGUGAGCAAUGGGCGGAAGCCUGAGGCAGCGACCCCGCGGGGGGGAUGACGGCCUUGGGGUUGGGAACGUCUUGCAGCAGGGACGGAGCGGAAAUGACGGUAACUGGAGAAGAAGCACCGGCCAACUACGUG
RNAcentral lists this ribosomal RNA (463 nucleotides) under uncultured bacterium. RNAcentral describes it as "partial 16S ribosomal RNA". It matches the Rfam family "Bacterial small subunit ribosomal RNA", at positions 28 to 507 of the family's 1533-position model. The record is from RNAcentral.